AUGAUGCCUACAAAGACUUGGAAGGAGAAGUGCAUCGCAGCAGAGGAAAAUAAAAAUACGGAUGCCAUCAUUAUUGCAGAAAAUUCAGAGAAUAAUAAAGAUGUACCAACUGAUAUGGAUGUUAAUAUGGUGUUCUCAUUGCCUGCUGAAUUUCGCGCGCCCAAGGCAGAAAUUGCUAAACUUGUUCUUGGCCCAAAGAAUGCUACAUUUGAGAAACCAGAGAAGCAUGGGCAGCACCUAAAGCCAUUAUUUACCAGAGGUCACAUCGAUGGUAAGCCUAUUGGUCGCAUGCUUGUUGAUGGUGGUGCAGGUGUUAAUAUUAUGCCCUUUUCGGUAUUUUCUAAACUGAACUGA
Molecule: ribosomal RNA, 354 nt
Filed under: Triticum aestivum (bread wheat)
Lineage: Eukaryota; Viridiplantae; Streptophyta; Magnoliopsida; Poales; Poaceae
Description: partial small subunit ribosomal RNA
Source: RNAcentral